UUUGGGUGGCUGAUAAUAGCAUUAGACUUUUAAUCUAACUCAUGAUAGACACCUAACCCUAUCCCCGGCA
Molecule: transfer RNA, 70 nt
Filed under: Haliotis discus hannai (Japanese disc abalone)
Lineage: Eukaryota; Metazoa; Mollusca; Gastropoda; Lepetellida; Haliotidae
Description: tRNA-Lys
Source: RNAcentral